Molecule: ribosomal RNA, 540 nt
Filed under: Triticum aestivum (bread wheat)
Lineage: Eukaryota; Viridiplantae; Streptophyta; Magnoliopsida; Poales; Poaceae
Description: partial small subunit ribosomal RNA
Source: RNAcentral
AUGGCGCCUAGGAGCGGCUAUACAGGAGAUGGAGGAAGCUCAAUCACGUCCAUGGAUCUAAGCCAUGGCAGUGUUGAAUCAAGUGAAUCUCUUCAGGAAGAGAUUCUUGAUCCGGAGUUCUUCGGUGUAGAUACUUCCUCUCCACACAGAUGCCAUCACAAAAUGCAUCCAGCAAGAAAAGUGGCUUACAUCUACGUGGCCACAGGCAUGAUGUUUCUUGGAUGCCCUCUCUCGGGAGUUGAUAGGUGCCCCUGGUUUUUGUGGAUUGAUGAAGCAUGGAGUCCUGUACUUAGCCGUUCAUUAAUACAACUCUGGGAUCAGGCUUGUCUGGACUCUGAAAGAGCAGCAAUGUUGGAGACUAAGAAAAAGGAAAUGGAGCAGUCAUACUUAGAGUUGUGGACUGAGAGAAGCAAUAUUGAGAUUGAACACGAGCAGGUGGUCAACAAGUUGAAGAACACAAUACUGAACACGGAGAUUAAGAUGUCAAGGAGGUUAGCUGAAGACCACUGCCAACAUAUUUUGUACUGUUUACACUUUUGA